UCCACAGUCAGUUUGGCGACGACAGCGAC
RNAcentral lists this small RNA (29 nucleotides) under Bombyx mori (domestic silkworm). RNAcentral describes it as "ovarian small RNA-26632". The record is from RNAcentral. Lineage: Eukaryota; Metazoa; Arthropoda; Insecta; Lepidoptera; Bombycidae.